RNAcentral lists this ribosomal RNA (471 nucleotides) under uncultured bacterium. RNAcentral's name for it is "bacterial SSU rRNA". It matches the Rfam family "Bacterial small subunit ribosomal RNA", at positions 329 to 793 of the family's 1533-position model. The record is from RNAcentral.
GAACGCACUCCUACGGGAGGCAGCAGUGGGGAAUAUUGCACAAUGGGCGCAAGCCUGAUGCAGCCAUGCCGCGUGUAUGAAGAAGGCCUUCGGGUUGUAAAGUACUUUCAGCAGUGAGGAAGGUGGGUAUGUUAAUAGCAUACUCAUUUGACGUUAGCUGCAGAAGAAGCACCGGCUAACUCCGUGCCAGCAGCCGCGGUAAUACGGAGGGUGCGAGCGUUAAUCGGAAUUACUGGGCGUAAAGCGCAUGCAGGUGGUUUGUUAAGUCAGAUGUGAAAGCCCGGGGCUCAACCUCGGAAUUGCAUUUGAAACUGGCAAACUAGAGUACUGUAGAGGGGGUAGAAUUUCAGGUGUAGCGGUGAAAUGCGUAGAGAUCUGAAGGAAUACCGGUGGCGAAGGCGGCCCCCUGGACAGAUACUGACACUCAGAUGCGAAAGCGUGGGGAGCAAACAGGAUUAGAUACCCUGGUAG